Molecule: ribosomal RNA, 1558 nt
Filed under: Triticum aestivum (bread wheat)
Lineage: Eukaryota; Viridiplantae; Streptophyta; Magnoliopsida; Poales; Poaceae
Description: partial small subunit ribosomal RNA
Source: RNAcentral
UAGGCGUUUACAGCUUACCGGGUUCGAAUUUUGUUUUUUAACAGGGCUCGUGCAGUAGGGGUUGGAGAGCUGGAAUAGGAGGGUGGCGCGGCGCUGCGGACGGGCUGGAACGUGUCGCGGCGGGGGUAGAACGGGCUGGAAGGUGGCGCGGUUGGGUGGGUCGGAGGGUGGCGCGGCGCGGCGGGCGGGGUGGUCCGGAGGGUGGCGCGGCGCGGCGGGGCGGGCCGGAGGGUCGCGCGGCGGGGCGGGCGGGCCGGAGGGUAGCGCGCCGCNNNNNNNNNNCGGAAGGAGGCGCGGUGGGCCGGAGGGUGGCGCAUCGCAGCCGGGCGGGCUGGAGGGUGGCGUUGCGUGGGAGGGCGAUGUCCAGAGUGGGAGGGAGCCGACGUCCAGCGCCGGGGGGCGCCGACGUCCAGCGCCUAAGCUGGAGCAGCGACGUGUAUCCCUGGCACCGGAGGGGGCGCACACCAGCGGAGGCAGGACGAAGCCGGGCAAAGGCCGGCACGUAUCUGACUAACUUGACUGCCCGAACUAGGGGAAGCUGUCAACGUCGAAGUGGUUACAACGGCAAGUUGUUGCGUCGCUAGACUCCCCUCUUCUGUUUGAUUUACUAAGUCAAGUAGUAACCGUAGGAACACUUGUCAAGACUUCUAUCGAAAGUCUCUGAUUAAUGCACUAUAAAGAGAGUUUGAAAAAGAUGUUUAUCGGACCCUGAAGGUGACUGACACGGUGACGAAGUCGUAGGUGGUAGUCACCGUAACCGGCGGGAGACUCGGUUUAGAACCGCGAGGGUCGGCGACGAGGACCUGGGGCGGAGGUAGUCGAGGUGAAGUGGUCUCGGCGGUCAGGCGUACUCAUCCCCAUCGCAUAGGGGGAUGUCGCCAGUUUAGGGCCACGUGGGUCGGCCAAGAGAACUUGGGGCGGAGGUAGUCGAGGUGAAGUGACCUCGGCAGUCAGGCGUCCUCAUCCCCAUCGUCCAAGUGGGUUGCAGGCUGCGGAAGAAGGUAGAGGUUUUUAGAACAAAAACUCAAGUCAAGAAGUAGUGUACAAAGUGAUCGACCUUAACGAACUGCUUGUCUCGUUUCCCGGGUUUGGGUGAUAGCACGUUCUUUUUCUUUAGUUUCGGGGUUGGUAGUCGACGAGUUUAGUAAUCCUUAACUCCGAAGCGGUUCCUUGUUCUGACCAUUGAUCGCGUUUCCUCUGAUACAGCUCUCCACCGUGACGAUCUGAACGACUACACAUCAAUACCGUAUUUUUUCUACUUUUUUUAAAAAGAACAUACUAAGGUAUUCGACAUGUAUCGUUUAGAAGGGUACACCUAGUCAUGUUGAAUACAUGCCGGAACUCAAGUGUUUAGAAUAUCAUUAGAAACAUCAUGAAAAGCAUUGUGAUUCAUUUCGUUCUCAUCGGGAAAAAAACACUCGUUGUUAAGUUUGCUUAGACAACAUAGUCAAGAAUACUAUCUAUCUUCUAUUUUGUUCUUUCUCUUCGGGAAAAAAACAUAUUCAAGACAACUUAGACAACAUAGUCGUUCUCAUCGGGAAAAAAACAUAUUCAAGUG